This is a long non-coding RNA of Herpailurus yagouaroundi (jaguarundi), 1236 nucleotides long. RefSeq lists it as uncharacterized. NCBI's taxonomy places the organism in Eukaryota, Metazoa, Chordata, Mammalia, Carnivora, Felidae. The transcript has 2 exons. The record is from RefSeq and is a predicted model, not a curated record.
UGGCAGGAGAGAAGCGCGGGAGCGGCCAGGGCGCUGGUUCCUGUGAGCCGGGUGGAGGAGGGCGGGGGCUAGGGCUGCGCAGGCGGAAGAGCGAGCCGGGAAGAGCGGAAAAUCUGCCGGUGCUGCAACUGCCCGAGUUCUGCGUGCUUCCGUAGCCGCCUAUUCGGGGUAGAGCGGAGCCGAACUGCGCUCCAGUGCACAAGAACCGUGGUGUCCCCUCCCACCCCCGGUAGGAAGCCAGUCCUGAAUCGGGAGGCGUGGUAGCCACCGACACCUAACGCCACUCUCCGGAGUGAUUUCCUGCGGCCUCUGCGGCCUCAAGAGAGCACCGAAGGGGAGCUUAAGGAAUGUACUCGGCACAAGCAGGCCUGUCACAGGGGCAGCCCCUCCCGAACUCGGUGACGUGAAUCUUGGAAGCGGACAGCUCCAGCCUGAAGUCUCUCAGGGUACACAGCAGCUUAGCGCACACAGCCAGAGGUAACCCAAGAAGCUCCCUUUAGAACACCAGGUUGUCCUCAGAAUUCACUCUCCACCAUGGGACAAGAAAAAAGUUGAGGGUAGUAGACCUCAAACACCAGAAAGAAACGGUAAGGUCUUUGCGUGCUCUGAGUCCAGUUACACCGAACACAAAUCCAUCACCCCUAAAGAAAAUGAGCAAUCGAACAAGCAGCUCUCUAACAAGACCCAUGUAAUACGGUAUUGCUGCCCUGGGUAAGAAGUAAGAGCAUAAGCAGGUGCAUUUCCUGCCAAUAAAGGAAUGAAAAGACCCACAAAGAAAACUGAAGACACUUGUAUAGAAGAGAUCAACCAUCUCAGAAAGCAAAAUGAGUAAAGAAUUGGGAAUCAAUACAGCAGAACAAAGCUGAAGCCUAAGUCCUGGAAUCAGGAAAGCCAGCAAGAAGCAAGCCGAUUCCUGCCACAGACUCCCAUCAGCUCAGGAAUAAGAGGCACCUGGUCCUCAGAGCCGGGAGAGACUGAAAACAUAAAAUAGCUGUGAAUCUUUAAAAUGCACAUCUGAGCACCCUUAUAUGCCUCACUAAACGAGGCCUGGUGACUACCCCACCCCGCUGGCAGCCUGAAAGAAAACCAGAGUGAAAAUUUACCCCCAAGAUAAAACUGAAGAGGGCUUGACCUCAGGGACACCAGAUAAGACAUAAAGGCCAAGAGUAAAUUCAGUAGAGAUGGAAUAAAGCUGAGGAAACCACCCAAAAAUGAUAAAGAAGCAGUUUGAGCAAA